This is a long non-coding RNA of Rhododendron vialii, 272 nucleotides long. RefSeq lists it as uncharacterized. The transcript is spliced from 2 exons. Lineage: Eukaryota; Viridiplantae; Streptophyta; Magnoliopsida; Ericales; Ericaceae. The record is from RefSeq and is a predicted model, not a curated record.
CAGGUUAGCAAAAAAGGUAUCUGUUACUUCUUUCUUGGGAUGCUGCAGCCAUUGUGUCUGAUAUUAGAGCUCUUGCUGGGGAAAUGAAGCCGAGUCUGGUUUGGUCUUCCAGAGGGGGAAAUAAGUCAGCACAUUGGUUGGCUUCUCAGAGGGCUGCUUCAAUUUGCAUUUCAUGAGUUACAGUUCCUCCCCCUAAUCUUCUAAAGAUUUUGGGUUUACAUAGGGGGGUUGCUCCCUAGCUGUAUUUGUCGAUCAAAAUAAAGAAAGAAAGA